RNAcentral lists this long non-coding RNA (6026 nucleotides) under Sus scrofa (pig). RNAcentral's name for it is "lncRNA (ENSSSCG00000047013.2)". Lineage: Eukaryota; Metazoa; Chordata; Mammalia; Artiodactyla; Suidae. The record is from RNAcentral.
UCCCUUUACAUAAAAACUGUAAGCAAAAUUAAAAAGACAAAAUUUUAAAAGCAAAUAAGCUGGGAGGCUUAUGCAGAAAUAUGAGAGUAUUCUUUUCUAAAAGACAAUCAAAAAGAAAAAUAGCUGCACAAAAGUAAAUAGCUAAUAGAAAUACAUUAAAUAAGUCAAAAGUUAACAUUCGAAAAUUUAAAAUGAGUCAUUUUUAGCAUAAUUGUCAAUGCUGGCAAGUGUACAGUAAUACAGACACUCUCAUACACUGAUGAGAGGAAUAGAAAUUGACACAACCCUUCUAGUCUGCGAGGUAAGAUGUAUCAAGAGUCUUUAAAAUAUUUAUACACUUACACAGUCUUUCUUUUUCUAGGAAUCUAUCCUAAGAAUAGGGUCAGAAAUUUUUCUGGUUAUUUACCUCUAUGUAAUAAAUUUUCCAAAAUUUAGUUGCUUAAAAAAAUAGCGACCCAUGUUUAGCUCACAAAUAUAUGAACUGUGCAGAGGUCUGCAAGAAAGACUCAUUUCUGUUCCAUGGAGCAUCAGCCAGAGCAGGUAUGGCAAGAAAAGCCUCUGCUAAGGCUGAUAAAUUGGGGCCAGCUGAGAGCUCUGAUGGCCUGAGGUCCUCAGUUCUCUCUGUGUGGGUUUCUCCACAUACGCCACACCCCAGACUGCUUGGGCUUCCUCACAGCAUGGAGGCUGGACUCCAAAAUUGAGAGUCCCAAGUGAUGGGAAGUGCCUUCUGCCAAUUUCUUUUCUUUUUUUUAAUUACUUAUUUUUUCAUUUUAAAAAAAAUUUAUUGAAGUAUAGUUGAUUUACAAGACUGUGAUAAUUUCUGCUGUACAACAGAGAUUCAGUUGUACAUGUACACACAUCCAUUCUCUUGCCCAUUCUUUUCCCACAUAGAUUAUCACAGAAUAUUUUUUUACAGAAUAAAAUGCAUAUAUUUAAACACAAUUACAUUCAAACAGAUUGUUACAUCAUGGAUCUUAAGAAACAGAUUAAGUAUCUCCCUCUGGAGAAGUGGAAUGGAAAAUAUGCUGAGACAAAUAGGAAAUUUAUUCUAUGCUUUGUCCCAUUUUGUAUGGCUUUCAUCUUUACUAUUUAGUAUUAUUACAUUUCAAUUUUUCUUUAAAAAUUAGCAUUGCAUUAAAAUUGUGUAUAUUAUGCAACUAAAAUUUAUAAAGAAAGCCUUAUAUACAAUUAAAUAUUUUAUAUAGCAGAAUAAAAAGAAUAACUUAACUGGUAAGAAUAACAAAAAUAACACACCCUCUGAAAAUAAUUAAAAUAUAAAAUACAUAAAUUGGUUAAAAAACAGUGUAACUGUAUAAAUAUGUCCUCACAAUUUGUUACAUCUUAUUGAUUCUUCAAUAAAGGCAUUACACCAUUCUAGGUGAUGUGAUAAACAAGACAUUAUAGACCUUACAUUGUACCAUGGAGAGAAAUGGUUAUUAAUAAUACAAUUGUAGAACUGUAUUAUUUAAUUUUACAGUUGCAUUAUUUAAUUAUAAUUAUCAUAAAUUCUUUGAUGGAGAGGAAAUCAGAAUCAGAUCUAAGAAGACUUUAGCAUUCCAAGAAUGAUGUCAAAUGACCUGCUUCAUGGUGGAUUAUGUACUUAUUUACUAUGAGAUAUAUUUCUUCUCCAGAGAUUCCUUGCUUAUCAAUAGAUUUUUGGUUUGAUAUGAGUCUAUAUGUAUAUGAGAUUGUCUUAGGUUGUUCUCUGAAUUGCAAGUUCAUCUCCAGUGUUCUGCAUUUGUACCCACCUCUUCUCAUGAUUUCUGAUUCUGGUGAUAUAAUUGUUCAUGGAUGAUCUCAUAUCUUUACUGAAUAUAUACCUUUACUGUAUAUGGUGAGCCUUGUCAUUUGUGGGAUUUUUGUUUCCUGUUGCUGUCUUUUCUGCCUAGAGAAGUUCCUUUAGGAUUUGUUGUAAGGCUGGUUUAGUAUUGCUGAAUUCUCUCAGCUUUUGCUUAUCUGUGAAGGUUUUGAUUUCUCCUUCAAAUCUGAAUGAGAGCUUUGCUGGGUAAAGUAAUCUUGGUUGGAGGUUUUUUCCUUUCAUCACCUUAAGUAUAUCAUGCCACUCCCUUCUGGUCUGCAGAGUUUCUGCUGAAAAAUCUGCUGAUAACCUUAUCGGGGUUCCCUUGUAUGUUGUUUCUUUUCCCUAGCUGCUUUCAAGAUUUUCUCUUUGUCUUUAAUUUUGGUUAGUUUGAUUAAUAUAUGUCUUGGUGUAUUCCUCCUUGGGUUUAUUUUAUAUGGUACUUGUUGUGCUUCCUGGAUUUGAGUGAGUGGUUCCUUUCCCAUGUUAGGGAAGUUUUUGGCUAUUAUCUCUUGGAAUAUUUUUUCUGUCCCUUUCUCUCUCUCUUCUCCUUCUGGCACCCCUAUAAAAUGGAUGUCGGUGCACUUAAUGUUGUCCCAGAGUUCUCUAAGACUCUCUUCAUUUGUUUUCAAUCUUUUUUCUCUUUUCUGUUUUGCAUCCGUCAUUUCCACAAAUCUGUCCUCCACCUCGCUUAUUCGUUGUUCUGCCUCCUGUAUUCUGCUGUUGGCUGCUUCUAGCGAAUUUUUUAUUUCGGUUAUUGUACUUUGCAUCUCUUCUUGUUUAAGUUUUAUAUCUUGUAUCUCUUUGCUCAGUGUUUCCUGUAAGUUAUCCAUCUUUGCCUCCAGUUUAUUUCCAAUGUCUUACAUCAUCUUCAGCAUCAACAGUCUAAAGUCUUUUUCCUGGAGGCUGAGAAUCUCCUCAUGGAUUAGCUGAUUUUCUGGGGUUUUUUCUUUCUCCCUCAUCUGAGUUACAGUUCUCUGUCUUCAUUUUUAUAGGUUUUUGGUGUGGUGACCUUUUUACAGAUAAUAGAGUUGUAGCUUCUAUUACUUCUGGCACCUGCCCCCCUUGUGGCUAAAGUCCCUAUGGGGGCUUGCUGUAGGCUUCCUGAUGGAAGGGGUGAUGCCUGCCCACUGGUAGGUAGAGCUGAUUCUAAUCCCUCUUGUGGGUGGGGCUCAGUCUCUGGAUGUGAUUAGAGGCAGCUGUGUGCCUGGAGGGUCUUUAGGUAGACUGUUUACUGAGGGGCAGGGCAGUGAUCCCACCUGGACUGUUGUUUGCCCUGGGGCUUCUCAGCACUGACUGACAGGUGGGGCCAGAUUUUCCCAAAAUGGCCACCUCCAUAGAAAGGCAGCUGCUGAAUAUUCCUGAGAGCUUUGCCUUCAAUGUCCCUCCCUCACAAGCCACAUUCACCCCUGUUUUCCCAUGAUGUCCUCCAAGAACUGCAGUCAGGUUUGACCCAGAUUCCCAUGGAGACCUUGCUUUGCCCUGGGACUCAGUGCAUGUGAAAGUCCAUGUGCGCCUUUUAAGAAUGGGGUCUCCAUUUCCCCCAGUCCUGUGGAGCUCCUGCACACAAGCCCACUGGCCUUCAGUGCCAGAUGCUCCAGGGGCUCUUUCUCCCAGUGCCAGAUCCCAGCAUGUGAGAGUUUGAUGUGGGGCUCAGAACUCUCACUCCUGUAGGUGAGUCUCUGUGAACCAGUUACUUUCCAGUCUGUGGAGCUUCCCACCCGGGAGGUGUGGGGUUGUUUGUAUCAUGAAAUCACCCCUCCUACCUCUUGAUGUGGCCUCCUCUUUUUCUUCUGGAGUAGGGUAUCUUUUUUAAGGUUUCCAGUCCAUUUGGGUAGAGAUUGCUCAGCUUUUAGUUGUGAAUUUUGUUGUUUUUAGGAGAGAAGUUGAGCUCCAGUCCUUCUAUUCUGCCAUCUUAAUCCUCUCUCCCCUUCUGCCAGUUUCUUAAGGCUUAGACCCAGGAACCAUCUUGGUGUCCUACGCAAGAUUUAAACAGAGGGCCCUAAACCCCACCUCCAGAUCAAAGAAUUAUCAAAGAAUUCAGGGGCUAUGUUUUAAAACAGCAACAGAAAUAUUAAUACAAAUAUAUGUUGUAAGAUAUUUUCUAGGGUCUUAUACAUGCUAACUAGUAAAAAUAUGAAGAGUCAACAUUAGGGGGAUAGUUAAAUAAGUUAUGAUAUAUUUAACCAGUUGGAUUAAAUCAUUAAAAAUCAUGUUUAUAAAGAGUUUCAAAGAUAGGUCAAAAAGAGUUUCAAAUAUCAAGAAAAAUGCUUAUAUUAUUAUGAACAAAAUCUUCAUACAACUAUGUAAAAAAGAUGUAAUAGAUCUUUGUAACGACAAAUUAUCAUUGGUUUUUAUUUUUUGCUUUCUUUUAGUAUUUCCCUAACAUCCUAUAAUGGGCAUAUUUACUUUGAGAUAAAUGUUGGAUUUAAUAAAUUGGGAAGCAGCCCCAAAUAAGUAUUUGUUUUAUAUGUGGUCUAUUGGCCAAUCCUGGGCCCUGGAUUAGAGCAGCUUGGAAUCUGUCCUUAGCCUGGCCUGUAAUGGGUGUCCUAGUACUGUACCUGCUCUUAGUUUUAAGCUUGCUUGGACUUCUGCCUUGCAUGCUACCUGACUGUGUAAUUCACUCUUUGUAUUUAUUGACCUCAAAGUCUCAAAUAUAUAGUAACAUGGCUGUGUUUUGUGAAAAGACCUCCCCUGCCUGGGGCCAAAUCAGGGCUGUGGUGGCUGAAAGGGUAUGUCAAAUAAUCACCAGGCACUCACCCUCCCCUCCCCCUUAGCAAUCACUGGCCACGCUCUCCAAAUGGAGAUCUGACACUUGGCAUACCAGAAAGAACAGGGCCUAUUUGCCCAUACUUCCCUUUCCCCUUCUAGACCUCGGCUCACUCUAGUCUCUCCGCCUAAAAAUACCCUUUCUCUAUCAUCCUCAUCCACUGAUAGCCUGGUCACUUUUCAAGUAAAAUGACAAAAUUAUCCAAGAGAUGCCCUACUCUGAGCCCUUUUCCUCUGAAUGCUUAUAGCUCCUUAUUUCCACCAUUAUUAUAAUACUUAAUACUUUAAUCACAAGCUAAAUCUUUCAUGUUGCUUCCCUGACACCCCACACUUAACCCCACAUGGAACUAUGCUGUGUCCUUUCUGCCAGCUCCGAUGGAACUCCAUCCUGACCCCUCUGAUUGCACAUCACAUUUGUAGGAUUAUCUGUUGAUUGUUCAGGUGAACAAUGAGCCCCACAAAACUUAUCAGCUUCCUCACAACAGGAACUGUCUUCAUCGCUGUAUCUGUAGUAGACACUGGCUUCCUCCCAAACUGUUUGCAAUCUGCUUUCUUUGCCACAGGUCACGAUAAAGAUUAAAAAGUCAAAUGCAUACAACCACUGUGGAAAAUAGUAUAGAGGUUCCUCAUAAGACUAAAUCAAGAAUUACCAUAUGAUCCAGCAAGUCCACUCCUGGGCCUCUUUCCAGAAAAAACUAUCAUUCCAAAAGACACAUGCACCCAUAUGUUUAUAGCAGAACUAAAACAACGUAAAUAUCCAUUAACAGAGGAAUGGAUUAAGAAGGUAUGGUAUGUAUACACAGUGGAAUACUACUCAGCCAUAAAAAAAACCAAAAUAAUGCCAUUGGUAGCAACAUGCAUGCAACUAGAGAUUCUCAUUCUAAGAGCAGUCAGAAAGAAAAAGACAAAUCCAUAUUAUAUCACUUACAAGUGGAAUCUAAAAUAUGGCACAAAUGAACCUAUCUUAGACUCACAGACUCAGACAUGGAGAACAGACUUAUGGUGGCUGAGGGCAGGAAGGAGUGGGAUGGACUGGGAGUUUGGGGCUAGUAGAUGCAAAUUAUUACAUUUGGAAUGGAUAAGCAAUGAGGUCCUACUCUACAGUGCAGGGAACUAUAUCCAGGUUCUUGGGAUAGACCAUGAUGGAAGAUAACAUAAGAAAGGGAAUGUAUACAUAUAUAUAUGUAUGACUGGGUCACUUUUCUUUACAGUGGAAAUUGGUACAACAUUGUAAAUCAAUUAUAUUUUAAUUUUAAAAAUAUGAAAAAAAGAAAGGCAAAUGCUUGUGUUGCCAGCUUUUCCUAGCAGAAAGGAGUUACGCUCUAGGAGACAUGAAAGUUUGCUGUGAGGAUUUUUUUUUAAAGAAUAUUCUUCUGUGUACUAGCCCUUUUCCUUUCCCUCUUCUUCCUACCUUGAGUGACAUCAUAAUAGCUGGAGGACAGUGGUCAUACAGUAAGCA